UACGGGGAGGAGGAUGACUAGUGUGAGGUUAGGUUAAGGUAAAACUGAGAGGCUGAAUGUAGUGUGACGUUGGGUAGGGAAGUCUGGUUAGGGUGAAGCUGAGAAUCUGGCUGUGUGGUGAGGUUAGGGUGAAGCUUAGGGCCUGACUAGGGGAUGAGGUUAGGUCGUGUUAGGGUGAAGCUUAGGGCCUGACUAGGGGGUGAGGUUAGAUUGUGUUAGGGUGAAGCUUAGAGCCUGACUAGGGUGAGUGAAGUCAUGUUAGAUUAAGUUAGUGGUUUAAUUAGGGGGUGAAGUUGAUUGGUUGAAUAGUUGAGCUGAGGUUAUAUUAAUGCUCGGUUAGGCUAGGGUGAAACUGAGAGAGGUAAAGUCAUGUUAGACUAAAGGAUGAGUUUUUUUUCUACUUUUUAAUGCAGGAAGGACAGCUGGCCAAGGCAACAAAAUAUAUAAAAAAAAAAAAAAAGGCCCACUACGUUGCCAGUUUCCUAAAAGACAUGGGAGUGAUUUAUUAACGAAGGGAUGAACGUAAAGAUAGAAUAGCGUUAAAAACAAUUGAUUACUUAAAAAAAAAAACUACACUAAGAUGAAGUCAGGUUAGAGAGAGAGACUGACUAAUUAAGGAGAUGAGAGAAAGGGUGAAAUGAUGGUCAUGGUAGGUUGAAGUUAACUGACUGACUGAAGAGAGACAGACUAGCGUGAAUCCAGGUUAAAUAAGGAUGCAAUUUGACUGAUUAAUGAGAGAGAGAGUAUAGGUGAGGUGAUGCCAAGGAGAAAAUUGAUAGACUAAAGAGAGAGAGAGAGAGAGAGAGAGAGAGAGAGAGAGAGAGAGAGAGAGAGAGAGAGAGAGAGAGAGAGAGAGAGAGAGAGAGAGAGAGAGAAGAG
This is a long non-coding RNA of Portunus trituberculatus (swimming crab), 879 nucleotides long. RefSeq lists it as uncharacterized. Lineage: Eukaryota; Metazoa; Arthropoda; Malacostraca; Decapoda; Portunidae. The transcript has 2 exons. The record is from RefSeq and is a predicted model, not a curated record.